This is an RNA transcript of Gossypium arboreum, 3581 nucleotides long. It is a transcript of the gene named wall-associated receptor kinase-like 14, with no coding region annotated. The transcript is spliced from 4 exons. NCBI's taxonomy places the organism in Eukaryota, Viridiplantae, Streptophyta, Magnoliopsida, Malvales, Malvaceae. The record is from RefSeq and is a predicted model, not a curated record.
CUAUCUAUUCAAUCCCAAAUUUAAAAAUAAAAAUAAAAAAUAAAAACAUGAAAAGAGCCGAGUCUAAGGAUGCCUGCAACCAUUGAAGAACAGCAAGAACAAGAAAAAGAAUUCUGCGGUAAAGCUCAUAAAUAUUCUCAACUAAUCCAAACCCAUUAAGAAAUUCUUAUAAACAUGUUCCUUCCCCAGUUAACCAAUGCAUUGACCUUUCUUUCUAUGUCGCAUUUAUUGAGAUUCGAUGCCUCCCCAACGCCUUUGAUUACUCUGUUUUCUCAAUUCUACUUAAAAUUUUUCCAGUUACCCUAUAUUUACGUCUUUCUACUCUGUUUCUUUUAAUCAAGCUCUGUUUUUUUUCCCUUAAUUCUUGUUUCUUUUGCUUAUCUUCUUCUUCGUCUUUAGGUAGCUGAUGGUUGCUCUGUUUUCUUCUUGGAGAAACCAAAUGAUAUUGUGUCCAGCAAAAUUAUGGCUUUCAAUAACAGUAAUAGUUCUUUUUCUUAGCUCCCGAGCAAAAUCUGUUCAUUCAGAGAAGAAUAAGUGCCAUGGCUCUUGCGUAACCAACAAUUUCACAACACCCUUGCCGUAUCCAUUCGGAUUCUCAUCGGGUUGCCCCAUCCGACUCAGAUGCACCCGAAGCGGUGUUAGGAUCGGAGGCUUUCAUGUCCUCAACGUGACUUCCACAUACAUCAUCGUCGGCCUUCCCACCAAAUGCGACCGACAGGUUUCUUCGAUCAAUGCUUUGUUCGGAGAAAACUACGCCGUUUCAACUUCCAACAAUCUUCUGCUACAAAGCUGUUCGAAACCCAUAGAAGCUCCAUGUGAAAUAAGGCCCAAGUUUUUAGAACCAUCAUUCAAUCUCAACCCUUGUGUUUCUAAGGGCGGCAACAUAAGUUGCUUCGCCGGCAAUCCUGGUGAGAAGUUGUUGAGUUUCGAGGAAGUUAAUGGAACGCAGUGCCGUUUCGUGCUUUCCUCGACUUCAUUUGUGGUUGACUCGGCGAGGAACUCAUCGAUUUCUUUGGAACUCGAUCGAGUUAACUUGGAAUGGUGGAUGAAGGGGCAGCCUGAUUGUGAUAGAAAUGCUAAUUAUGAGCCUGUCAAGACUGGUAAUACGACGGUGGGGUUUAAGUGCUUUUGCAAAGACGGGUUUGAAGGAGAUGGCUUCCGAGCUGGCGAUGGCUGCCGGAGAGUUUCUAAAUGCAAUGCUUCAAAAUACAUGUCUGGCAAAUGCGGGGGAACUACAAGAGUUGUUGUUCUUAUUGGAGGGCUUGCGGUUGGGGCUUUGUUGAUGGGUGGGGUGGCUCUUUUAUGUUGCUAUAUUCGAAGGCGAACUAAUUCGAUAAACAAACGGAUGAAUGCAAAGCGGCUUAUAUAUGAAGCAGCCGGUAAUUCUAGUGUUCCUUUCUAUGCCUAUAGAGAAAUUGAAAAAGCUACAAAUGGUUUCUCUGAUAAACAAAGACUAGGGAUUGGAGCCUAUGGUGCAGUUUAUUCAGGGAAACUCCAAAAUGUUGAUUGGGUUGCCAUAAAAAGGUUCAGGUUUAGAGACCCUGCUAGCAUUGAUCAAGUAAUGAAUGAGAUCAAGCUCCUUUCAUCGGUCAGCCACCCGAAUCUUGUUCGUCUCUUAGGUUGCUGCAUUGAGGAAGGCGAACCGAUCCUGGUUUAUGAAUUUAUGCCAAAUGGAACUUUAUUGCAGCAUCUGCAACGAGACAGGGGUGAAGGACUUCCAUGGACAGUAAGGCUUACCAUUGCUGCUGAAACAGCCAAAGCUAUUGCUUAUCUUCACUCUGUGAAUCCCCCAAUUUUUCAUAGAGAUAUAAAGUCUAGCAACAUACUAUUGGAUUAUAAUUAUAGAUCAAAGGUGGCUGAUUUUGGCCUUUCAAGGCUGGGGAUGACAGAAUCAUCCCACAUCUCCACUGCUCCACAAGGAACACCAGGUUAUCUCGAUCCGCAAUACCAUCAGUACUUCCAUCUUUCGGAUAAAAGUGAUGUUUAUAGUUUCGGGGUUGUUCUCGUGGAGAUAAUAACUGCAUUGAAAGUGGUCGAUUUCGCCCGGCAGCAUAGCGAGGUAAACUUGGCUGCACUUGCUAGUGAUAGGAUAGGAAGAGGCUGCAUCGAUGAGAUAAUCGAUCCUUUUCUUGACCCACACAAGGAUGCUUGGACAAUGUCAUCAAUCCAUAAUGUGGCUGAGCUAGCAUUUAGAUGCCUUGCUUUUCAUGGUGACAUGAGGCCUAGCAUGUCGGAAGUGGCCGAAGAGCUAGAACACAUCCGGCUUAGCGCCUGGGUUCCCAGCUUGUCACCAUCGGCUUCCUCUUAUUCAUCGUCAGAUAAUGAGAGUGAAAAAUGUUUAAGUACAAAGAUGGGAAGCCAGAGAUUGGUUGUGAAGCAAAGGGAAGAAGAUCAUAGUUCCCCUGUUUCAGUCCAAGAGUAUUGGUUAAGUGGAGAAAGUUCACCUUCAACAAACAGCUUGUUGGGUAAUGCAUCUCAGCGAGAAUGAGGCCUCAUAUGUAGUGCUCCGUAUCAUUGUUAUCGAUACUUUUUCCCGUCUUGCAAGCAAAGUUGAAACCAGGAGUUGUUUAUAGCAAUUGAUUCAUGGGUCAUCAAUUAAAAAGAUCAGUUGGGAAGAGAAUCCUGAAAUGCAUAUUUUCCGGGGAGAGGGGAAUGGGAGUGUUCUGAUCUUCAUGUUUUAGGCUACAAAACCCUUAAAUCUUAUUUUCUUAUUUUUUUCUUUUCAAUAUUAAAGAGGAGGAAAUUAAACUUUUUUCCAUGUUUGAAAUUAAGUCGUCAAAGUAUACACGUAGCCGAUUGAAUUGGAUAAAAUCGUCACAUAAUUAAUAAUUUUUUACAAAAAAUACUUACAAUACGAUGUUUAAAUCAAUAUAGUUGAAGGACUUAAGUUUUAAAAUUUUUAAAUAUAAGGACUAAAUCUAAAAUAUUGUCAAAUCUUUUUUAAAAAAUUCUCACUAAUGAACUUGGGUUGGGCCAAUGAGCCCAAUGGUUAUGAAAUACUAUAAGGAAGUGGAAACCCUAACCCUAAAUCACGUCUCGCCGAUAUAAUAAAUCCAGAAGCGCUUCCAUGUCAAAGCCUCAUUCUUUUCCUCUUUAAAUCUGAAACGAAAUAGGUUUCCCCUCCCCUCCCUUCCUCUUGUUUUUAUUAUUUUUAACCAUGAAAGAUUGCAAGUGGUGGAACAGGAAGGGUUUCUCGGUGAUGAUGGAAUACGAUGACGAGUCCGAUUUCCAUUCUUUCAAAUCGUGACGACAAAUCGAGGCAUUUGUCUGAGAGAAAUCCAUAUUCUUUGUGUUUUUACCUCUCUUUUUUUAAUUCCAAAAACUAAGAAUGAUUAUUUUUUUGGUGCGAGGCAUAAUGAGGAAGAAGUAACAAAAAAUCUGACUUAUUGUGAUGAUCAAUCACCUCCUACUCAUUCUGAAUGCCGCUAAAAAAAUAUUCAUACAAUGGUUUUAUUUUGGGUAAAGAUUUUUUUAAAGAAAGAGAAAAGGUUUGAUAAGUGAUUUAUGGUUGAAGAGGAUUGCCUGUUUUACCUUUAAUGUGUGUGUAAACUUAGAAUUUUGUAAAGGAUAAAUAAAAUUAA